RNAcentral lists this ribosomal RNA (301 nucleotides) under uncultured bacterium. RNAcentral's name for it is "partial 16S ribosomal RNA". It matches the Rfam family "Bacterial small subunit ribosomal RNA", at positions 509 to 808 of the family's 1533-position model. The record is from RNAcentral.
CAGCAGCCGCGGUAAUACGUAGGUGGCAAGCGUUGUCCGGAUUAUUGGGCGUAAAGGGCUCGCAGGCGGUUUCUUAAGUCUGAUGUGAAAGCCCCCGGCUCAACCGGGGAAGGUCAUUGGAAACUGGGAAACUUGAGUGCAGAAGAGGAGAGUGGAAUUCCACGUGUAGCGGUGAAAUGCGUAGAGAUGUGGAGGAACACCAGUGGCGAAGGCGACUCUCUGGUCUGUAACUGACGCUGAGGAGCGAAAGCGUGGGGAGCGAACAGGAUUAGAUACCCCGGUAGUCCCUGUCUCUUAUACA